GGAUAGUGACACUUACAUAUAAUUUCAGCACUCAGGAGGCUGAGGCAGGAGGAUCUCAAAUUGGAGGCCCGCCUGGACUACAUAGCAAGUCCAAGUCUGGUCUGAAUUACAGAGCAGGACCCUGUCUCAAAACAAAACAAGACAAGACAAGACAAAACAAAACAAAACAAAGCAGCAAGGCUGGCAGCAUGCAGCUGCAGAGUCCUGCCCUGCCUUACCAGCCUUUCCCUACCCCUGGUGAGUGCAGAGAGCAGGGAGCUGGGAACGCCUCUCUCGCGCGCCCUCUGCUGUGACCUCACAUCACUGCAGCACACCUGUCCCAGGCAGUGCGGGGCUGGUCGUCAUGGAGCUCCUCCCACCCCACCUUCGACCUCGGGGUUCCAUCCGGGGUGGCAGGCUGCCCGCAGGCCUCGUGCCACCUGCGCGUCCUGGGGACAGUCUCCCAGACUAGCUUUUGAACUCCUGCACGGUGGGCGACAGAGGCCAGGGUGUUGACACACGGGCGGCUGUCCCGGCCCAGAGCUGCCCAGGGGCUCUGUGCAGCGCUUCUGCCUGGUGCUAGGCGCCGCCGGGCACCUGCCAGGCCUGCGGGACGGAGGGAGCACUCCUGCCGCUCAGGACCACGGCUGUUCACAGAGGCCUCCGCGCACACACUUGACGCAGGUGGCCAGAUCUGUCCAGCUUUCAAAACACACCAUCCGCGGUGUGAGGACGGAGGGGAGGCGGUCCUGGGCCUGCCUGCCUCGCUGCGCAGUCCCUGCUCCUCGGUUCUGGCCAGGGAGAGUCCGGGAGUGGCCAGGAGGCUGAAGUUUGAGGCCCACAGUGGAAACAGAGGCUGGGGAAGGACCUUGGCCCUGUCUCCCGGGGCAGCCUGGCCGUCUGCCCGUGGGCACACCGUACCUCAAAGAGACAGCGGUGCAGCUUCCUUGAGGAUGAAAAGCAGGGCUUGUUAGCAACUUUUGCGAAAAGCAAGUGGCUGACAAGCCCAGACACACACAGGGCAUUCCAGCAGAGACAGAGGGGCAGACGCGUCCCCAGGAUAGCGCGGACAGGAGGGUCAGCAGGAUGCCAGAGGAACCAGCGCAGGAACCUGGGCUGGGAUGCAGCAGCACCGGAGCGAAGGAGCCGCGGCAGACCCCGCGGAGGACACGUGAAAGGGCGGCUGCGGCGGAGGCCUGACACGCUGUUCCUCCUUCCCGGCCUGCUCCCCGGCGUUCUGAGGCUCUUUCCGGUACAUUCCCUUUUCAGUCACCCGUUUCAGUUCGAAUUGCACUCUGUGCAAACAAGGAACUCUGACACAUGUCAGGAAACGGCUGUCCCAGCCACAACUUGGCAUUUCCUUUCUCUCUCUCUCCCUUUCCCUCCCCUUCCCUUUCCUUUCCUUCUUUCCUUCCUUUCUUUUUUUUCUUUCUUGUACUGAAGAUUGAACCUAGGGCUUUACACAUGCUAGGUAAACACUUGACUUGCUUUUCUGAUUGUUGGGACAAAAUACCUGACACCCAAAGUUAAGGAAGGAAAGGUUUACUUAGCUCACAGUUUGUGGAGGUUUCAGUCCAUAAUCAGGGUGGAGGUUUCAGUCCAUAAUCAGCUGGCCCCAAGGCAGGGUGGCAUGGCAGAGGAGCAACAGUUCAUGGCUGCAAGGACGACAAAAGCAACAAGAGCAAAAGGGAAGGAGCAAGCCUCUUUUCCUCCCUUACAUUGUAACCAGGCUACGCACCCUAGCGUGGGUGUAGCAUUCACAGCCGCAACCCCAGCACUAGACAAUGAACCAACUGCAAACUCUAGAUUCAGCCGCCUCUGAAAAGCCUUCCCCCCUUGACUAUAUGAGGCUUUGGGGGGGUCAUCUAGACAUAAACCAUAACAAAACUCUACUGCUGAGCUACACCCCCAGCCCUUUUAAUUUUUAUUCUGAGACAGGGUCUCACUAUGUUGCCCAGGCUAGCCUCAAACUUGUGAUGUUCCUGCCUCAGCCUCCUGGGUAGCUUGAAUUGCAGGUGUGCACCACCAUGCCUGGCUGGCAUUUUCUCCUAGUAAACAAUGACAUACUAUACAGCUUCAGAUUCCUGGGUGAAGCAGCCUGUUCAGCCGGCUCAUGUCAGCUAUCCUCUCAUGUCCACUCGGCUGGGCCUCGGAAGAAGGCAGGGUGUCAAGAUGCAAGUCGGUGGGGGAGGCUGGCACAAUGUGUGUCCACAUGCAGUUCUGAGGACUGUGCGGGUGCAUUUCUGAGGGGUCCUAGUCAUACUGUAGACACUGAAAAUGCCUCUAGUCAGAAUUUUAACAGGUGGCAGUAAAGUAUGCUGAGAAAGGAACACAAUCCUUAUGUAAGGGCUCCACAGGGUAGUGGUGACCCCAGGCUGGGCUCGCUUCUCAACUAGCAAAGCGCUAGUUCUCAGGGAAGAUGGCGUGGUUUAGCGCUGUGAUACUGCAGUGAAAUACCAGAAAGAGGGCACCUGUGAAGAAAGGUUUAAGGUUUAUUUAGCUCACACAUCUGGAGGUUCAGAUUCAAGAUCAGGCAGCAGAGAGAGAGAGGGGCGGGGAGAACACUCCCGCUUCUUUGUAUCUGUCUAACUGCUUCUUUUUUUUUUGGUACCAAGACUCGAACUCAGGACCUUGGGCUUGCCAGGCAGGUGCUUGUGCUAUAUCCCUGGCCCCUGUCUGUCUAACUGCUUCUGACCACAGCUUUCAGAGCUGCUUUACUCCCCUGCCUCAGCAGACUGGGAGGAGACAGCCAGGGUGGCGGCAGCGGGCGAGCUCAGUGGAACCCUUGCCCAGCAUGUGUGUGGCCCUGGGCUGAUCCCCAGCACUGUGGAAAAGAAGACGACCCAGAAAGUAGCUCCCUCCCAGACGCACACCACCAGACAAAGGCAUGAAACCCCGGGAAAUGAGCUCACGAAGAAAAAUAAGGCACCCGGGUCAUGUGAUGUCUGUAAAAGAAAUCUAAAAAAAUGAGGAAGAGAAUUAAUGGACUAGUGAGAACAAGAAUUUGAAGUAAUCAUAAAAACAUCCUAUAAGAGAAAAUGGAGAUCAUUAUAUAUUUGGAACAGGAAUGAUACCUAUAAAGAAGUUAUCAAGUACAGAAGAAUAGCUGGGACACAAAGUUUAGUGUGUAAGUGGAGUAGGAAAUAGAUUCAGACUAAGAAUCAAUUCCUAAGCUGGAAGGUAAGCCUGCAAACUCUCCCAGAAUGUGUCAGGAAGGAAUAAAGGGGUAAAAAGUACAAGGGUAAAGUGACUAAAUCCAGAAGAUAGACAUGUCUCCAAAAUGGGAGUUCCAGAAGAGAAGGGAGAAAAUCUGGAAGUAAAUAUCUGAAAAAUAGUAACUAAGUGAAUUCCCAGCUCUGAAGGUGUCGGUCAGUGGUAAAAUGUGUGAUUCUAAUGCACAAACAAAACAAAACUGAAAAACAAAUUCCUAGACUUCCCAGAAUUACAGACAGGAUACUAAGAAGAUAGGUGAGGAAAAAAAACAAUAACACUGGAGAGCAGCAUAGUAAAAUUU
RNAcentral lists this long non-coding RNA (3493 nucleotides) under Chinchilla lanigera (long-tailed chinchilla). Its description in RNAcentral is "lncRNA (ENSCLAG00000027698.1)". Lineage: Eukaryota; Metazoa; Chordata; Mammalia; Rodentia; Chinchillidae. The record is from RNAcentral.